RNAcentral lists this ribosomal RNA (310 nucleotides) under uncultured Ochrobactrum sp. RNAcentral's name for it is "bacterial SSU rRNA". It matches the Rfam family "Bacterial small subunit ribosomal RNA", at positions 1069 to 1382 of the family's 1533-position model. Lineage: Bacteria; Pseudomonadati; Pseudomonadota; Alphaproteobacteria; Hyphomicrobiales; Brucellaceae. The record is from RNAcentral.
GAGAUGUUGGGUUAAGCCCGCAACGAGCGCAACCCUCGCCUUAGUUGCCAGCAUUUAGUUGGGCACUCUAAGGGGACUGCCGGUGAUAAGCCGAGAGGAAGGUGGGGAUGACGUCAAGUCCUCAUGGCCCUUACGGGCUGGGCUACACACGUGCUACAAUGGUGGUGACAGUGGGCAGCGAGCACGCGAGUGUGAGCUAAUCUCCAAAAGCCAUCUCAGUUCGGAUUGCACUCUGCAACUCGAGUGCAUGAAGUUGGAAUCGCUAGUAAUCGCGGAUCAGCAUGCCGCGGUGAAUACGUUCCCGGGCCUU